RNAcentral lists this ribosomal RNA (325 nucleotides) under uncultured bacterium. RNAcentral's name for it is "bacterial SSU rRNA". It matches the Rfam family "Bacterial small subunit ribosomal RNA", at positions 483 to 793 of the family's 1533-position model. The record is from RNAcentral.
AGAAGAAGCACCGGCUAACUCCGUGCCAGCAGCCGCGGUAAUACGGAGGGUGCGAGCGUUAAUCGGAAUUACUGGGCGUAAAGCGCAUGCAGGCGGUUCGUUAAGUUACGUACGAUAGUGUAAGAACCCGGGGCCGGUCUAACCUCGGAAUUGCAUUUGAAACUGGCAGACUAGAGUACUGUAGAGGGGGGUAGGAAUUUCAGGUGUAGCGGUGAAAUGCGUAGAGAUCUGAAGGAAUACCGGUGGCGAAGGCGGCCCCCUCGGACAGAUACUGACACUCAGAUGCGAAAGCGUGGGGAGCAAACAGGAUUAGAUACCCUGGUAG